This 57-nucleotide precursor RNA is filed under the name Spodoptera frugiperda (fall armyworm). Its description in RNAcentral is "partial precursor microRNA 9". It matches the Rfam family "mir-276 microRNA precursor family", at positions 18 to 78 of the family's 90-position model. Lineage: Eukaryota; Metazoa; Arthropoda; Insecta; Lepidoptera; Noctuidae. The record is from RNAcentral.
AGCGAGGUAUAGAGUUCCUACGUAUUCUACCACUGUAGGAACUUCAUACCGUGCUCU